UGCGCAGGCGGAAUAUUAAGUCAGUAGUGAAAUCUCCCGGCUCAACCGGGAAACUGCCAUUGAAACUGAUAUUCUUGAGUAUAGUUGUAGUAGGCGGAAUAUAGCAUGUAGCGGUGAAAUGCUUAGAUAUGCUAUAGAACACCGAUCGCGAAGGCAGCUUACUAAACUAUUACUGACGCUCAUGCACGAAAGCGUGGGGAGCGAACAGGAUUAGAUACCCUGGUAGUCC
RNAcentral lists this ribosomal RNA (229 nucleotides) under uncultured bacterium. RNAcentral describes it as "partial 16S ribosomal RNA". It matches the Rfam family "Bacterial small subunit ribosomal RNA", at positions 568 to 796 of the family's 1533-position model. The record is from RNAcentral.